GGCGGGACACGUGGUAUCCUGUCUGAAUAUGGGGGGACCAUCCUCCAAGGCUAAAUACUCCUGACUGACCGAUAGUGAACCAGUACCGUGAGGGAAAGGCGAAAAGAACCCCGGCGAGGGGAGUGAAAAAGAACCUGAAACCGUGUACGUACAAGCAGUGGGAGCCUCUUUAUGGGGUGACUGCGUACCUUUUGUAUAAUGGGUCAGCGACUUAUAUUCUGUAGCAAGGUUAACCGUAUAGGGGAGCCGAAGGGAAACCGAGUCUUAACUGGGCGUUAAGUUGCAGGGUAUAGACCCGAAACCCGGUGAUCUAGCCAUGGGCAGGUUGAAGGUUGGGUAACACUAACUGGAGGACCGAACCGACUAAUGUUGAAAAAUUAGCGGAUGACCUGUGGCUGGGGGUGAAAGGCCAAUCAAACCGGGAGAUAGCUGGUUCUCCCCGAAAGCUAUUUAGGUAGCGCCUCGUGAAUUCAUCUUCGGGGGUAGAGCACUGUUUCGGCUAGGGGGCCAUCCCGGCUUACCAACCCGAUGCAAACUACGAAUACCGAAGAAUGUUAUCACGGGAGACACACGGCGGGUGCUAACGUCCGUCGUGAAGAGGGAAACAACCCAGACCGCCAGCUAAGGUCCCAAAGUCAUGGUUAAGUGGGAAACGAUGUGGGAAGGCACAGACAGCCAGGAUGUUGGCUUAGAAGCAGCCAUCAUUUAAAGAAAGCGUAAUAGCUCACUGGUCGAGUCGGCCUGCGCGGAAGAUGUAACGGGGCUAAACCAUG
This 773-nucleotide ribosomal RNA is filed under the name Cronobacter sakazakii. Its description in RNAcentral is "partial 23S ribosomal RNA". It matches the Rfam family "Bacterial large subunit ribosomal RNA", at positions 416 to 1191 of the family's 2925-position model. RNAcentral also lists the same sequence under 1 other name. The record is from RNAcentral. Lineage: Bacteria; Pseudomonadati; Pseudomonadota; Gammaproteobacteria; Enterobacterales; Enterobacteriaceae.